GUCCCAAAAAAACAAGGAGGAAUGGGGUUCCGAGAUUUACAUUGUUUCAAAUUGGCGUUACUAGCCAAGCAAGCGUGGCGUUUGCUUGAUAAUCCGGAAUCGUUAUGUGCCACAAUCAUGAGAGCUAAAUAUUUCCCGGAUGGCGAUUUAAUGAAUGCAAGUCUAAAGAAGGGUUCCUCUUUCACCUGGCAAAGCAUUAUGGCAGGGGUUAAUUCUCUAAGGAACGGUUAUAUCUGGCGAGUUGGAAACGGACAAAAAAUUGAUAUUUGUGAAGAUGCAUGGAUCCCGAAUUGUGCAAAUAGAAAAAUAAUUACUCCUAGAAGGGGGCAACUUUUGUCAAAGGUUUCUGAUCUUAUUGAUCCAAUUACGAGUUAUUGGGAUGAAGACUUGGUGAGACAAACGUUGUGGCCAAUUGACGCUCAAAGGGUACUUGCAAUCCCCCUUCCGAUACAUGAAAUGACGGAUUUCAUUGCUUGGAGUUUCACAAAAAAUGGUUUGUUCACUGUUCGAUCGGCUUAUUGGGAGGAAUGGAACAAACAGCAUGGAAGAAAAUUACAAUAUAUGUAUGGUAUGGGUAGAUCCAAUGCUAAUCCUAUUUGGAGCAAGAUCUGGAAGCUAUCUUGUCCGGCAAAGGUAAAAUUCAUCUGGCGUACAUUGCAUGGAACACUCCCAUGUCGUGUUACGCUCGCCAAUAGACAUGUGAAGGUCCCUCCCAUCUGCCCAACAUGUUCAAAAGGGCUAGAAGACACGAAACACGUCUUGUUUCUGUGUCAGAAGGCGAAAAAGGUCUGGGAUAAUUUGGGUUUGUAUGAGGUGAUA
Molecule: ribosomal RNA, 819 nt
Filed under: Triticum aestivum (bread wheat)
Lineage: Eukaryota; Viridiplantae; Streptophyta; Magnoliopsida; Poales; Poaceae
Description: partial small subunit ribosomal RNA
Source: RNAcentral